This is a long non-coding RNA of Pecten maximus, 324 nucleotides long. RefSeq lists it as uncharacterized. The transcript is spliced from 2 exons. Lineage: Eukaryota; Metazoa; Mollusca; Bivalvia; Pectinida; Pectinidae. The record is from RefSeq and is a predicted model, not a curated record.
AACAAAACGAACUGGUUGUAAGUUGAAUAUUCAGGGAUUAUCGUUGUGGUGUGCAAAUGGCAUUGAAAAACUACGACAUUUAUUUAUAAAUUCGGAAGUUUCCGUUGGUUUAUGCAGAACAUCACAGAAUUAGGUUAUAAGAAGGGGGUAAAGUAAACUCUGAGUCCAGUGAUACGAAGACGGUAUUGGCAGAUCCGGAAUCCUGCAUAAGAACAGAAAACAUCGACUUAUUGGGACUGACAGCUACACGUUUAUCCUAUUUCGGAUCAAAAUUUAGUUUAUACCGUAAGUCAAAAUAAAGUAUUACAUAAUACGAUUUUAAAA